This 951-nucleotide ribosomal RNA is filed under the name Pseudomonas sp. P12(2008). RNAcentral's name for it is "bacterial SSU rRNA". It matches the Rfam family "Bacterial small subunit ribosomal RNA", at positions 52 to 1003 of the family's 1533-position model. Lineage: Bacteria; Pseudomonadati; Pseudomonadota; Gammaproteobacteria; Pseudomonadales; Pseudomonadaceae. The record is from RNAcentral.
CACAUGCAAGUCGAGCGGCAGCGGGUCCUUCGGGAUGCCGGCGAGCGGCGGAUGGGUGAGUAAUGCCUAGGAAUCUGCCUGAUAGUGGGGGAUAACGUUCGGAAACGGACGCUAAUACCGCAUACGUCCUACGGGAGAAAGCGGGGGAUCUUCGGACCUCGCGCUAUCAGAUGAGCCUAGGUCGGAUUAGCUAGUUGGUGAGGUAAUGGCUCACCAAGGCGACGAUCCGUAACUGGUCUGAGAGGAUGAUCAGUCACACUGGAACUGAGACACGGUCCAGACUCCUACGGGAGGCAGCAGUGGGGAAUAUUGGACAAUGGGCGAAAGCCUGAUCCAGCCAUGCCGCGUGUGUGAAGAAGGUCUUCGGAUUGUAAAGCACUUUAAGUUGGGAGGAAGGGCAGUAAGCUAAUAUCUUGCUGUUUUGACGUUACCAACAGAAUAAGCACCGGCUAACUUCGUGCCAGCAGCCGCGGUAAUACGAAGGGUGCAAGCGUUAAUCGGAAUUACUGGGCGUAAAGCGCGCGUAGGUGGUUCAGCAAGUUGGAUGUGAAAGCCCCGGGCUCAACCUGGGAACUGCAUCCAAAACUACUGAGCUAGAGUACGGUAGAGGGUGGUGGAAUUUCCUGUGUAGCGGUGAAAUGCGUAGAUAUAGGAAGGAACACCAGUGGCGAAGGCGACCACCUGGACUGAUACUGACACUGAGGUGCGAAAGCGUGGGGAGCAAACAGGAUUAGAUACCCUGGUAGUCCACGCCGUAAACGAUGUCGACUAGCCGUUGGGUUCCUUGAGAACUUAGUGGCGCAGCUAACGCGAUAAGUCGACCGCCUGGGGAGUACGGCCGCAAGGUUAAAACUCAAUGAAUUGACGGGGCCCGCACAAGCGGUGGAGCAUGUGGUUUAUUCGAAGCAACGCGAGAACCUUACCUGGCCUGACAUGCUGAGAACUUUCCAG